RNAcentral lists this ribosomal RNA (253 nucleotides) under uncultured bacterium. RNAcentral's name for it is "partial 16S ribosomal RNA". It matches the Rfam family "Bacterial small subunit ribosomal RNA", at positions 524 to 776 of the family's 1533-position model. RNAcentral also lists the same sequence under 2 other names. The record is from RNAcentral.
UACGUAGGCAGCAAGCGUUGUUCGGAGUUACUGGGCGUAAAGGGUGUGUAGGCGGCUUCGUAAGUUCGGUGUGAAAUCUCCUGGCUUAACUGGGAGGGUGCGCCGAAAACUGCGGAGCUGGAGCGCAGGAGAGGAAAGCAGAAUUCCUGGUGUAGCGGUGAAAUGCGUAGAUAUCAGGAGGAAUACCGGUGGUGAAGGCGGCUUUCUGGACUGCUGCUGACGCUGAUACACGAAAGCGUGGGGAGCAAACAGG